Molecule: ribosomal RNA, 429 nt
Filed under: Acidobacteriota bacterium
Lineage: Bacteria; Pseudomonadati; Acidobacteriota
Description: Acidobacteria bacterium partial 16S ribosomal RNA
Rfam family: Bacterial small subunit ribosomal RNA
Source: RNAcentral
UGGGGAAUUUUGGACAAUGGGGGAAACCCUGAUCCAGCCAUCCCGCGUGUGCGAUGAAGGCCUUCGGGUUGUAAAGCACUUUUGGCAGGAAAGAAACGUCAUGGGUUAAUACCCCGUGAAACUGACGGUACCUGCAGAAUAAGCACCGGCUAACUACGUGCCAGCAGCCGCGGUAAUACGUAGGGUGCAAGCGUUAAUCGGAAUUACUGGGCGUAAAGCGUGCGCAGGCGGUUCGGAAAGAAAGAUGUGAAAUCCCAGAGCUCAACUUUGGAACUGCAUUUUUAACUACCGGGCUAGAGUGUGUCAGAGGGAGGUGGAAUUCGGCGUGUAGCAGUGAAAUGCGUAGAUAUGCGGAGGAACACCGAUGGCGAAGGCAGCCGCCUGGGAUAACACUGACGCUCAUGCACGAAAGCGUGGGGAGCAAACAGG